CCCUUAGAUGUUCUGGGCCGCACGCGCGCUACACUGAUGCAUUCAACGAGUCCAACCUUGACCGAGAGGUCCGGGUAAUCUUUGAAACUGCAUCGUGAUGGGGCUAGAUUAUUGCAAUUAUUAAUCUUCAACGAGGAAUGCCUAGUAAGCGUGAUUCAUCAAAUCGCGUUGAUUACGUCCCUGCCCUUUGUACACACCGCCCGUCGCUCCUACCGACUGAGUGUGUUGGUGAGGAGUUUGGAUUGGCCUCGGAAGGUGGUUCGCCACCGUCCGUAGCUGAGAAGUUCUCCAAACCGCCCCACUUAGAGGAAGGAGAAGUCGUAACA
RNAcentral lists this ribosomal RNA (326 nucleotides) under uncultured eukaryote. RNAcentral's name for it is "partial 18S ribosomal RNA". It matches the Rfam family "Eukaryotic small subunit ribosomal RNA", at positions 1470 to 1796 of the family's 1831-position model. The record is from RNAcentral.